Molecule: ribosomal RNA, 370 nt
Filed under: uncultured organism
Description: bacterial SSU rRNA
Rfam family: Bacterial small subunit ribosomal RNA
Source: RNAcentral
CGUAGGGUGCGAGCGUUAAUCGGAAUUACUGGGCGUAAAGCGUGCGCAGGCGGCUCCUUAAGUCAGAUGUGAAAUCCCCGGGCUUAACCUGGGAACUGCGUUUGAAACUGGGGAGCUCGAGUGUGGAAGAGGGGGGUGGAAUUCCAGGUGUAGCAGUGAAAUGCGUAGAGAUCUGGAGGAACACCGAUGGCGAAGGCAGCCCCCUGGGCUAACACUGACGCUCAUGCACGAAAGCGUGGGGAGCAAACAGGAUUAGAUACCCUGGUAGUCCACGCCCUAAACGAUGUCAACUGGUUGUCGGGGAAGCAAUUCCUUGGUAACGAAGCUAACGCGUGAAGUUGACCGCCUGGGGAGUACGGCCGCAAGGUUA